This 146-nucleotide unclassified non-coding RNA is filed under the name soil metagenome. RNAcentral's name for it is "partial internal transcribed spacer 1". The record is from RNAcentral.
UAAUAAGUGUUUUUAUGGCACUUUUUAAAUCCAUAUCCACCUUGUGUGCAAUGUCAGUCGAUCUUCUUCAUGGAGAUCGACCAAACAUCAACCUUUAUCUUUUAACUCUUUGUCUGAAAAAUAUUAUGAAUAAACAAUUCAAAAUA